GACGAACGCUGGCGGCGCGCCUAACACAUGCAAGUCGAACGAGCGAGCGAGAGCUUGCUUUCUUGAGCGAGUGGCGAACGGGUGAGUAACGCGUGAGGAACCUGCCUCAAAGAGGGGGACAACAGUUGGAAACGACUGCUAAUACCGCAUAAGCCCACGGUGCCGCAUGGCACAGAGGGAAAAGGAGCAAUCCGCUUUGAGAUGGCCUCGCGUCCGAUUAGCUUGUUGGUGAGGUAACGGCCCACCAAGGCGACGAUCGGUAGCCGGACUGAGAGGUUGAACGGCCACAAUGGGACUGAGGCACGGCCCAGACUCCUACGGGAGGCAGCAGUGGGGAAUAUUGCACAAGGGGGGAAGCCCUGAUGCAGCGGCGCCGGGUGGAGGAAGAAGGUCUUCGGAUUGUAAACUCCUGUUGUUGGGGAAGAUAAUGACGGUACCCAACAAGGAAGUGACGGCUAACUACGUG
RNAcentral lists this ribosomal RNA (466 nucleotides) under uncultured bacterium. RNAcentral's name for it is "partial 16S ribosomal RNA". It matches the Rfam family "Bacterial small subunit ribosomal RNA", at positions 28 to 507 of the family's 1533-position model. The record is from RNAcentral.